RNAcentral lists this transfer RNA (74 nucleotides) under Omnitrophica WOR_2 bacterium RIFCSPHIGHO2_02_FULL_50_17. RNAcentral's name for it is "tRNA-Val". It matches the Rfam family "tRNA". Rfam says of the family: Transfer RNA (tRNA) molecules are approximately 80 nucleotides in length. Lineage: Bacteria; Pseudomonadati; Candidatus Omnitrophota. The record is from RNAcentral. RNAcentral also lists the same sequence under 1 other name.
GGACCCAUAGCUCAGCUGGUUAGAGUGCUUCCUUGACAUGGAAGAGGUCAGAGGUUCGAUCCCUCUUGGGUCCA